UUGUAAUGGCGUGCAUCAUCGCUUUUAAUUUGAUUAUUUUUGUCUUGUAACAAACUUGAUAUUUUUGUAUCUUGUUUAGUUUACACAUCUGUGUUCUUGAUUCUGACAAUUUCCACGUGCAUCCCCUUCCGCCUGGGUGGCGAGUUUAUACACAAAAACCAAAAGCGUAAACAUUUACCGUAUAUUCCCACAGCAUUAACCGAACAUGAAAACCACGGCACAUUUGUUUCAUGUCUACCAAGUGGCAUAUUCCUCCCAUGACGCGAGAAGAGUUUUCUAGCGACAAAUGGUUCCACCUGAAGACACAGGUGCCCGCCAAAACUCUCGUGAAGAGACGAGAAACAGCCUCGCUAAAAAUAGGAAACAAUUGGGGGCAUCUCCAUCUUCAUAUUGUGAAAUCUUACGGACACCUAUGUGUAACUAAAAUGUGUGGUACCAUUUGCUACUGUUGUACGUGACAGAAAUA
Long non-coding RNA from Ostrea edulis (European flat oyster), 466 nucleotides. RefSeq lists it as uncharacterized. The transcript has 3 exons. Lineage: Eukaryota; Metazoa; Mollusca; Bivalvia; Ostreida; Ostreidae. The record is from RefSeq and is a predicted model, not a curated record.